UCUCCGUUGGUGAACCAGCGGAGGGAUCAUUACCGAGUUUUCAACUCCCAAACCCCUGUGAACAUACCUACACUCGUUGCCUCGGCGGGUGCCCCAGCGCGCAGGCGCGGGGGCGCCAGCCCGCCGGCGGCCCGCUACUCUUGCGUUGACGACUGCAUCUCCGAGCAAUUGCAAACGAAUCAAAACUUUCAACAACGGAUCUCUUGGUUCUGGCAUCGAUGAAGAACGCAGC
This 232-nucleotide unclassified non-coding RNA is filed under the name uncultured fungus. RNAcentral describes it as "sequence contains ITS1, 5.8S rRNA gene". The stretch from base 184 to 232 matches the Rfam family "5.8S ribosomal RNA", at positions 1 to 49 of the family's 154-position model. The record is from RNAcentral. Lineage: Eukaryota; Fungi.